Molecule: transfer RNA, 82 nt
Filed under: Bacteroidales bacterium
Lineage: Bacteria; Pseudomonadati; Bacteroidota; Bacteroidia; Bacteroidales
Description: tRNA-Leu
Rfam family: tRNA
About the family: Transfer RNA (tRNA) molecules are approximately 80 nucleotides in length. Their secondary structure includes four short double-helical elements and three loops (D, anti-codon, and T loops). Further hydrogen bonds mediate the characteristic L-shaped molecular structure. tRNAs have two regions of fundamental functional importance: the anti-codon, which is responsible for specific mRNA codon recognition, and the 3' end, to which the tRNAs corresponding amino acid is attached (by aminoacyl-tRNA synthetases). tRNAs cope with the degeneracy of the genetic code in two manners: having more than one tRNA (with a specific anti-codon) for a particular amino acid; and 'wobble' base-pairing, i.e. permitting non-standard base-pairing at the 3rd anti-codon position.
Source: RNAcentral
GCGGGUAUGGCGUAAUUGGUAGCCGCGCCAGACUUAGGAUCUGGUGACGUAAGUCGUGGGGGUUCGAGUCCCUUUACCCGCA